RNAcentral lists this ribosomal RNA (254 nucleotides) under uncultured bacterium. RNAcentral describes it as "partial 16S ribosomal RNA". It matches the Rfam family "Bacterial small subunit ribosomal RNA", at positions 524 to 776 of the family's 1533-position model. The record is from RNAcentral.
UACGUAGGGGGCGAGCGUUGUCCGGAAUUAUUGGGCGUAAAGAGCUCGUAGGCGGUUGGGCAAGUCACGUGUGAAAUCUCCACGCUCAACGUGGAGGCGCCACGUGAGACUGCCCUGACUCGAGUCCGGUAGGGGAGCGUGGAAUUCCCGGUGUAGCGGUGAAAUGCGCAGAGAUCGGGAGGAACACCCGUAGCGAAGGCGGCGCUCUGGGCCGGUACUGACGCUGAGGAGCGAAAGCGUGGGGAGCAAACAGG